UGUGGAAUGAAGAACUAGAUUAUAGUUGGCCAAACGAAAAUGGGUCCCUCAAGGUCAAAGCUUGCUCUUGACACCACCACCCGUCUCUACCAACACUGUUGCCACUUUGUACUAAGGGUGGCUAGUAAGAGAGAAAGUGAAUGUGUGUGUGAGAGAGGGUGUGAUAGUGAAGUAUUGUUAUUGUGGGGAGUAUUGUUUGUCUUCUCUGGAUUGUUAACUAUGACGAGGAGAAUAUAGUUCACAGUUCUACAAAUGUAUUGUAAUGUAUUGUAUGGAUGGAGAUAUAAUGUAUUGUAUUGUAUGA
Molecule: long non-coding RNA, 304 nt
Organism: Nilaparvata lugens (brown planthopper)
Lineage: Eukaryota; Metazoa; Arthropoda; Insecta; Hemiptera; Delphacidae
Exons: 4
Source: RefSeq, a predicted model, not a curated record